Molecule: unclassified non-coding RNA, 246 nt
Filed under: uncultured Tubeufiales
Lineage: Eukaryota; Fungi; Ascomycota; Dothideomycetes
Description: sequence contains 5.8S rRNA gene, ITS2, 28S rRNA gene
Rfam family: 5.8S ribosomal RNA (bases 1-52)
Source: RNAcentral
AACGCACAUUGCGCCCUCUGGUAUUCCGGGGGGCAUGCCUGUUCGAGCGUCAUUUCAAACCCUCAAGCUCCGGCUUGGUGUUGGGCGCCGUCCGCCUGAGGACGCGCCUGAAACUCGUAGGCGGUCGCGCGCGGCUCCUCAGCGUAGUCAAAUUCUCGCUCUGGACGCCUGCGUGCGGCCCCGCCUGGGAACCACUCAUCUCAAAGGUUUGACCUCGGAUCAGGUAGGGAUACCCGCUGAACUUAA